UUUUCCACUCCCAGCUCUCUCUUUUCCUCUGUCUUCUCCCCUCUCCACAUUCCUUUUGUCUCAUGUCUCCAUCUCUAUCUCCCUUCUUUGAAUCCCCCCCCGAGUCUCUGUUUGGCCCAUUGCUGUUGAGAUUUGCCUCCCGGAAGCAGACGUUCCACCGUGGGGCUCAAUUCCCUGCAUCUGGGCUUCUCUCUAGAUCCCUAGGAGCCAGGCAGUGCUCUCACUGGCACUUAGGGAGAGGCCCCCUGGAGCCCGUAUGGCAGGCUGGAGCCAGUGGGACAGGCUGGCUAACAGUGCCAGUGGGGCCUGUGCAAACUGCCCAGUCUGAGCCCUCCACACUCACCGCUCUGAACUUCAUACCGUGACCUUCAGCAGAGAGUUCCUGCUCGUGCACUUGGCUUCCUUGUAGAGAAAUGGAAACAUUCUUCAGUGGAUCAUUUGCAAACAAUUUUGUUUGAUUUAAUUCUUCCUCCAUUGCAAUAAUUUCAAAUAGUGACACUGAACUUUGUGUUUCAGGAGCUGCAGAAAAUACUGCUGCUGUCAUUGUGGUGAAUCAGACACCCCCUUCUAUCCGUGCAAUGGAAGGAUCAGAGUUCACCAUCGAGUGUACAUUCAACUCAAGCAAUAACUCUAUCAAGUGGUUUGGUGAUUGGAGUAAAACCAGAAACAAUGUAACAGCAAAGGUGAACAGUGUAAUAGAUCGAACCAUGUUAUCAGCAGAUACAGAAAAGAGGUCUCUUUCCCUCACUGUGAAGAAAGCCGAUGUCAUGGAUUCUGGAACCUACGUAUGUGGGGUUGGGAGCAAAUAUGGGACAUCUCCUGGGACUGGAACCCAAGUGACCAUCGAUGCACCUGACCAAAGGCCAAUGAGCUCUUACAUUGUUCCUGGAGCUGUGGCUGGGACACUUCUCCUCCUGCUGGUGCUCGGUAUCCUUUUGUGGAGAUGGAGACAGUGCUCCAAAGGUAAGAUUUACUUGGACAAUAAAUGUAAGCAAUUACUGCAUGAGGGGAGCUCAUAGGAUAACAUAAGAACAUAAGAAAGGCUGUACCGGGUCAGACCAAAGGUCCAUCCAGUCCAGUAUCCUGUCUACCAACAGUGACCAAUGCCAGGUGCCCCAGAGGGAGUGAAUCUAACAUGUAAUGAUCAAGUGAUCUCUCUCCUGCCAUCCAUCUCCAUCCUCUGACAAACAGAGGCUAGGGACACCAUUCCUUAUCCAUCCUGGCUAAUAGCCAUUAAUGGACUUAACCACCAUGAAUUUAUCCAGUUCUCUUUUAAAAGCUGUUAUAGUCCUAGCCUUCACAACCUCCUCAGGUAAGGAGUUCCACAGGUUGACUGUGCGCUGCGUGAAGAAGAACUUCCUUGUAUUUGUUUUAAACCUGCUGCCCAUUAAUUUCAUUUGGUGACCCCUAGUUCUUGUAUUAUGGGAAUAAGUAAAUAACUUUUCCUUAUCCACUUUCUCCACAUCCCUCAUGAUUUUAUAUACCUCUAUCAUAUCCCCCCUUAGUCUCCCCUUUUCCAAGCUGAAAAGUCCUAACCUCUUUAAUCUCUCCUCAUAUGGGACCAUUCCAAACCCCUAAUCAUUUUAGUUGCCCUUUUCUGAACCUUUUCUAGUGCCAGUAUAUCUUUUUUUAGAUGAGGAGACCACAUCUGUACGCAGUAUUCGAGAUGUGGGUGUACCAUCGAUUUAUAUAAGGGCAAUAAUAUAUUCUCAGUCUUAUUCUCUAUCCCCUUUUUAAUGAUCCCUAACAUCCUGUUUGCUUUUUGGACCGCCUCUGCACACUGCGCGGACAUCUUCAGAGAACUAUCCACGAUGACUCCAAGAUCUUUUUCCUGACUUGUUGUAGCUAAAUUAGCCCCCAUCAUAGUGUAUUUAUAGUUGGGGUUAUUUUUUCCAAUGUG
This 1900-nucleotide long non-coding RNA is filed under the name Chrysemys picta bellii (western painted turtle). RNAcentral describes it as "lncRNA (ENSCPBG00000022776.1)". The record is from RNAcentral. Lineage: Eukaryota; Metazoa; Chordata; Testudines; Emydidae.